UACGAAGGGUGCAAGCGUUGCUCGGAAUCACUGGGCGUAAAGCGUACGCAGGCGGUUCGUUAAGUCGGGUGUGAAAGCCCCGGGCUCAACCCGGGAAGUGCAUUCGAAACUGGCGAGCUAGAGGACAGGAGAGGGGAGCGGAAUUCCUGGUGUAGAGGUGAAAUUCGUAGAUAUCAGGAGGAACAUCGGUGGCGAAAGCGGCUCCCUGGUCUGUUACUGACGCUCAUGUACGAGAGCGUGGGGAGCAAACAGG
This 253-nucleotide ribosomal RNA is filed under the name uncultured bacterium. RNAcentral's name for it is "partial 16S ribosomal RNA". It matches the Rfam family "Bacterial small subunit ribosomal RNA", at positions 524 to 776 of the family's 1533-position model. The record is from RNAcentral.